Molecule: long non-coding RNA, 479 nt
Filed under: Mytilus galloprovincialis (Mediterranean mussel)
Lineage: Eukaryota; Metazoa; Mollusca; Bivalvia; Mytilida; Mytilidae
Source: RNAcentral
GCUGGCUAUCACUUUAUUUACCUUCUAUGAUUUAUAGAGGAAGGGUGAUUGGAAAUUACCGUCGAGUAGAUAUGUUUAGUAUAUUCAAAAUAACUACAUUUUGAAAUUAAAUAGAAAAUUGGUGUGCAUAAUCAAAAUGGUUGAAAAAAAAUAAUUAAAAGUCAUGAAAAAAUUCAAAAAGGAAAGUCCCUAAUCAAAUUAAAGGAAAAGUAAAGAGCUUAAACACAUCAAACGAAUGGAUAACAACUGUCAUAUUUCUGGCUCGGUGCAGGCAUUUUCUCAGUAGAAUAUGGUGGGUUAGCACAACUUAGAAAUAGAAAAAUUGAAAUUAAAUAUCAACGCACUGUUAUUGCUAUUUGUAGUAAUUCAUAAAAAAAUAAUUAACAAAAAUCUGCGAUUCUUGUUCAACGAAAUGCUCGUGCAGCAACCAAGUAAGCAACAUAAAAAACGCAAAACAAAAUUUUAAAAUCUUAAAGUUU